CCUCUUCUUUCUUCUACACCCAAACACACGCAUCGACACAGAAAAUCUGCUCCCUUCCUCACGAAAUCCGCCCGCCCCAGAAUCCGCCGCCGCGGAACUCGCCGGAGAAGCAGCGGCGACAAGCCGCUGACACGCUCGGCUCUCCCCUCUCUUUCCUUCCCCUCCACUCAAACUCGGCCGGCAGCAGAAGCAGCUGGAACUAGCCACCACCGCCUGACCUAGCCCCACUGGAACCACCUUCCGGCGACACCAGCCAAGCCACCAUCACCCGCUCCUCCACACUCUCUCCUAAACUCCGCAGACCCGUCAAGCAAAAAUCAAGACUCAAGACUCCUUCUUUCUUCUUUUUCUUUUUAACAACAGUCAUGUUUGUAUAUAAGUAUAUAUAUAUGAACAGAUUGUAUGUAUAUGUAUUUGUAAAUGUCAUUUGUUCCAAAAUUUUGGUUCAAUUUAUAUAUAUAUAUACAAAUUUAAGUAUGACAUAUAUAUACAUGAAAGCAUAA
Molecule: long non-coding RNA, 503 nt
Filed under: Salvia miltiorrhiza (redroot sage)
Lineage: Eukaryota; Viridiplantae; Streptophyta; Magnoliopsida; Lamiales; Lamiaceae
Description: long non-coding RNA (SMIL_LNC001799)
Source: RNAcentral